Molecule: signal recognition particle RNA, 289 nt
Filed under: Vombatus ursinus (common wombat)
Lineage: Eukaryota; Metazoa; Chordata; Mammalia; Diprotodontia; Vombatidae
Description: Metazoan signal recognition particle RNA (ENSVURG00010004278.1)
Rfam family: Metazoan signal recognition particle RNA
About the family: The signal recognition particle (SRP) is a universally conserved ribonucleoprotein. It is involved in the co-translational targeting of proteins to membranes.
Source: Rfam by way of RNAcentral
ACUGGGCAUGGCAAUGCACUCCUAUAAUUCCUGAUACUGGAGAGGCUGAGGCUGGUGAGCUCAGGAGAUUUCAGCUGUAGGAGGGCUAAUGCCAAUUAGGUGUUCACACUAAGUCUAGCACGAAUAAAGUGAACUCCUUGGAGCAGUAGAAUAACAGGCUACCUAAGCAGAGGUGGACUGACCCAAAUAAAAAAUGGAGGUCAAAAUUUCCAAGCUGCUCAGUAGUAGGAUAGGGUCUAUGAGUGGCCUUCCAGUCUAGUCUAAGCAACUCAGGGAGACCCAGUCUCCU